Long non-coding RNA from Acinonyx jubatus (cheetah), 2811 nucleotides. RefSeq lists it as uncharacterized. The record is from RefSeq and is a predicted model, not a curated record. NCBI's taxonomy places the organism in Eukaryota, Metazoa, Chordata, Mammalia, Carnivora, Felidae. The transcript has 3 exons.
ACAAGGGCCAGUCUGAGAGCCUUACUCAUUGGGGCGGCGGGAUUGCCUAUCAUGGUGUCGCCACAGGACAAUGUUGAAGCGGGUGAGAGCGUGUGAGGCCAUCUGCGGGCUUCUCCCCGUGGCCUUGUCACGGCUUCAUUUCUCCUGGACCGUGGGUGUCUCCCUCACCCCAGGAGGUUCAGGCAGGCAGCCGGAAGAGCUGGGGGUGGGGAGGGUCCUGGCACCUGUCCAGCCCACCUGCUGCUUUGAACCCUGGGACUCCCCCUGCCUGACUUUCCUCUGCAUCUGUGUGCUUGUUGGCUGCUACGGUAUUUGUUGUUUUUUAUCUACAAAGUACCAUAAAGUUCCUGGUUAAAAAAGAGAAAAGUCAAAACCUCAAAGGCUUGGAAAGUAGAAAAUUCAGUUCUCCAGGGCACCUCCCAAGAAUCUCCAGGGUUCCCACGAAGGCAGGGGCCCUGAGGUGUGCCCAGCCCGUGGGACGGACCGGUGUCUGGGACCCUGGGGUGCCCAAUGUUUAUUGAAUAAACAAAGGAAUUAUGAACGAAUGAGCAGUUUGGGAAGCAUUUUCCAGUAUUUUCUCUCUGUGCCUACCAGCGUAAACAUAGAAAAAAUAUGGGGUCAUGGUAUAAAUGCGGUUCUGAAUGCUUGAAAAAAAUUGAACAAUUCCUUGCGGGGACUUGUCCCUGUUACUUUAUACCAGGGUUUCUCAAGUGUGGCACUAUUGGUGUUCAGGGUUGGGUCAGGACUCGUUGGGGGCAGUCCUGUGUACCACAGGAUGGACAGCAUCCCUGGCCUCGCCCACCAAGAUGCCAGUACCACACUCUCCACUGAACAAUAAUAAUACAGGUUUCUAGGUGUUAUCGAACGCCCCCUGGGGGGCAAGAUCGCCCCCCACUGGAGAAACCAUAGAUUUACAGACCUGCUUCUCUUCUUGGCUCUCAGAGUAUUCCAAGAGUGUGGCUGUGGGAUCUUUAAGCUCAUUUGUCAACGAUGCUGAGUUGUUUCCGGUCCCUUGCAAGGGGCCCACCGGAGCACUUGUGUGUUUCCACAGGACACUUUCCAGAAGUGGGACACCGCUGAGCUGAAGCCGGGGCGCCCUCGCAUGCAUCUGUGUCCCCAGCGAAGAGGCAUGACAGGGCCCGCCUCACUGCGGGCUCCGUGGCGAUGGGAAUUCACCUCUCCAGUCGUUGCCAAUUCGAUGCGGUUUAUGGGCAGUGGCAUUUCUUAUUUUGUUCUCUUGUAGAACUGUAUUGAUCGUUCCUUCCAAGAAAAUGUGAAGUAAGAGCAGUGAUCACAAGGAGCCCCCCCUUUGGGCUCCGACUUGAGUGGUGUACUUGGAGAAACGCUCCUCCCAGAGAUAGGGGCCCCCUGAGAACACGCUUACCAGCCUCCCUUACAGUUGAGGGGCCACGUGGCAGAGUUCUGGCCAAUGGAACCAGAGUGAAACCUUGAUGGCGCUUCCAGGCCUGGCCCGCGUACCCUCAGGUCCCCUCCUGCAGGGAUUGGCUGACAUUUCUGCAGAGGGCUGGUUCGUCGGUUUCCGGAUGCCAGAUGGCCAGGAACUGCAGAGGACCCAGAGGGAGAAAGAACCGUGCCUCUCGUGGAGGUCCCAGAAGAUGGCGAGGCCACGGGACUCGGCUGUCCCUUUGGGGAGUGAUGCGUGUGCUCCCCGUCGGACAGGAAGCAGGGGCUGGUUCUUCCAGGACCAGACGGGCAGCUCGUGACGGGGACUAGCUGGCUGCCCUCCCACCGUAACCCGUCUGCUGCCUGUUGCGCGUCAGGACCACGUCUCCUACUUUCCUUGUCGUUAGAUGUGGCCAUUGGCCGUGGGCUGAAUGUUUGUGUCCCACCCCCCAAGUUCAUAUGUUGAGAUCUUAGCCCCAAUUGUGAUGCUAUCAGGAGGUAGGGGCUCUGGGAGGUGAUGAGGUCAUGAGGGGGGAGCCCUCGUGAAUGGGAUUAACGCCCUGAGAGAGGGACCCCAGAGGGCUCCCUGCCCCUCUUGCCGCGCGAGGAGCCGUCCGUGAAGCAGGAAGCAGGUCUCACCGGACACCGAAUCUUGAUCUUAGACCUGCCAGUUUCCAGAACUGUGAGAGGAAAUAUUUGUUGUUUGUAGGCCGCCCGGCCUGUGGUAUUUUGUCGGGGCAGCCUGAAGGGACCAAGACAGGCGGAGUUCUGGCCAGUGGAAGUGACAUUUGUGCCGAUCAUAAAAGCCCACAAAACCUUCCACGUUGUUUUCCGCGUGCUCUCCAGGCUGCCGGACACACAUGCCCGAGGCCACUUGGAAACCAUGUGCUAAAGAUGGCGGGGGCUGUUCCCUUGAUGACUUUGUGGGACACAGUGCCAGUUGGAUUCUGCGGAGGAAAAAAGGCGUCUCCCUUGUGAACCCUUGGGUUUCUGUGUCAGAGCGGCUGAUAUCACCCCCACUGGAAUCCAGGGAAAACUCUGGAAGCUGUGAGGCUCGCUCGGUCUGGAGAGAGGGGUGGGGGAGAAGGCAACCAGGCAGGACCCUGGGAACAUCAGUGCCCUGAGGCUGGGCAAAGGGAGGUGGCCACAAGGUAGGCUGAGAAGUAGGCACGAGGAGACUGAGGGCGCUGGGGGCGGGGGGUGCCCGGAAGGAACCCUGUUAAAACUCUAUUUUGUGGGGCGCCUGGGUGGCUCAGUGCUUUAAGCAUCUGACUUCUGCUCAGGUCACGAUCUCGCGGGUCACGGGUUCAAGCCCCGUGUCGAGCUCUGUGCGGACAGCUCAAGAGACUGGAGCCUGCUUCAGACUCUGUGUCUCCCUCUCUGUCCUUCCCCACCUUGUGCUGUCUC